AAUAUUGGGUCAAAGCAGAAUUUAGAGGUGUGCAGCAAAACAUGCUGAAUUUGCUCCAAGGACAUCAUUUUACUGCUGUCUUGCCCUAACUGGAAUUGUCCGUUCUUCCGAGUUUUGACAACUUGUUUCUUUCUACACAGUGGAUAUGUUUGGUCACCACAACUGUUGAAGAGGCCAUUUUGAUCAGGAAGAAAAGACUGAAAUUGGAAGAGAUUGUAGUGUGUACUGGCAUCAUAGUUUUUGCUUCAGUUUUGUGCUAAGUGUCACUCACCAGAUAUUAAUUAUAAAUGGAGUCUUUUUUAACCCUUUUGUUCAUAGAUGCUCUAUCUUGUUACAUAUAUUUAUACAAGUUAACAGUUUUAGCUAUCUGACAUCUAUUGACCAAGCAAGGUACCACACAUGGAGCUUGCAUUUUUCAUAACUUAUAUAAAUUACUAUAUAAUUCUUGCAUUACAGGCUCAGGUUGUAUGUUAUUUUUUGGAUUUAAAAAUGAUCCUUGAAGCUGGAGCUUGUCUAUUUUUUCCUGGAUUCAAUCAAUAAGUCCUUUGUUUUUAAUGGUUUUCUUCUGUUGCAAAGGAUGGUGCAUUCAGGUUUAUGCUUGUACUCUUUCCUCGGUGGAAAGUCUGUUGAUGCUAUCAAGAAUCCUGCUAGUAAGAAGGAUAUGUCGACUUCAACUGUAGAUCUUGGUAAUGCAAAUCUAAGUCAGAAUUUAUUAGAGGAUAAAUGUAAAGUGCAUGCACACGCAUACACUAUAUACACACAUAUAUUUAUAUAUAAAUAAGAUCACUCACUUAAAAGCUUCACCACCA
Gossypium arboreum is the source of this 809-nucleotide long non-coding RNA. RefSeq lists it as uncharacterized. The transcript has 2 exons. Lineage: Eukaryota; Viridiplantae; Streptophyta; Magnoliopsida; Malvales; Malvaceae. The record is from RefSeq and is a predicted model, not a curated record.